GGUUUGGCAUUUCCCCUUUUCUGAUUGGCUGCCUCCCCAGGGCCUGGGCCUCAGUGCUGGUGGCCCUCUGGGGGUCGGGAGCGCAUAAAUAGUUCCUGCUGGGGAAACUGGGAAACUGGUCUCAGACAAGAGGAACAGACAUCUCUGCCACGCACUGCUGCCUGGAGCUGCAUGAGGUCCCAGUGCUGCCAGCGUGUCUUCUGUGUAUAGCCCCAUGCACCUCUGCCUCAGCCACAGCCCUUCCCCGCAGCAGCUCCCGCGGCCUGGCCUGGUAGAGCUGCAGUCCCAGGCCUCCUUCUACUCCUUCCUGGUACGACUGCAUGAACCCCAGAGACCCAAGAAGCGAGUAGUGUUUGCAGACACGAAGGGGAUCUCGUUGACAUCCGUGUACAAGUUUGAAGAUGCUGUGGGCAGACACGUGUCCCAUGUUCAGUUUCCUGCGCCCUGAGCCACCUGGCUGGCCAGAGCCACCACCUACGCUCUGGGCUUCCCCGCACCCAGGCAGGGUUCGGGGGUUCCAGAGGCGCCUGCAGGUGCAGAGUGUGCGCCCGGAGCAGCGUGCUGGGCAGGGGGCUUCCUGCGAGGCGCUGUCUAGCAGGCAGGCUGGGUUCCAGAAGGCAAGGCAGAUGCGCAUCACCUUUGAUGUCAGGGCUCCUUCCAAGAAGUGCCUAGUGUUCACACGGCCAGUCCUUGCAGAAGCGAGACUGACAGCUUCGCCUUCCAAGCCAUGUUGCCACUAGGUCCCCCAGGCCGGUGGGCACCAUUCAGUUCUGCUUCUGUUGUUGGGGAAAACAAUCAAGGGCAAACCUGUUGUUUGGUGCCCAGUUCUCAGUCACGCUCAUCACAAUGUAAGUGAGCUCUGUGAGGGCCCACAGACAGGGUGAGCCGUCUGUGGUUACAUUUUCUGCAGAGGCGAAGCUUGAAUUCCUCACCCAGGAUGUGCUAUUCCUAUCGCUUCUGGAACUUUAUUCAGACUCUUCUUUCUCCUGAAUUCACAGUGGGGAGACAGGAGGGACACAACUCCCAGCCCCCAGAAAGCCUUGAAUGCUUUGCAUUCUUCUCUCACAAGGGGAGCCCACUUCCUGACCAAAGGGCUGAAAUUUCCUUUAGGGAGAUGCUGGGAAUGGCGCCCUUUACCCUUUGCAGAGGAGCCUUUGGAGUGUGGAAACAGAAGAAAUGUAAAUAAAGCUUUUAUGUGUCAUUAUUUAACAGGCCUGGCAGAGUGGCUGUAAGGACUGUGUGGAGUGGGGGAGGGCCGGGGAGGGUUCUUUGCAUUGAAAGCAGGAGGCACCCAGCACAGGAAGGAGCUCUUACACUUUCCUCUCCAGGUGGAAAGGGCCAGCUUUCUGGUAACUUGAAAUUGUACUGCUGCUUCAACUGUUGCCUAAAGAAAAGUUCAUUAAAGCAUCUUCAGUGGUUCACGUUGUAAACACUUGACCUUUCCCCCUCUUUAGCAGGUAAAAGUCUGGGGAAACUCUGUCUACCUCAAAACAGAUGCACUUAAAAAAAAACAAAAACAUUUUUAGCUGUUUUGUGCAUAAUUUACCAAGACCCAGAAACCUGACCUUUGUUCCUAGGCCCCUCCCUCCCCUGUUGUAUUUAUCACCCUAUAUGGAAACUGCUUAUUGAACUGUUUGCCACCCUCAGGGCCUGGAAAGGCUGGACCAGGACUGCCAUCCACCCUGCUGGCCCCCAGGCUGUCAGCCCUGGAAUGCUCAGGAGGUAAGGGUUGGAAUAAUAAGUGAAUGUUUGUGCCAGGUAGGCCCCUCGCUUCAACUUGCAAUGCUCUGAGAUCUUCAGUCUUCAGAAGAUUUUAGCCUCUUUUCGGAGAUUGCUCAUUCUCUCAGAUUACUGUUCGUGGAUGACAAAUUUUAAAUAUGUGUUUAAAAAGAAUGUUUCUCUCUUCUGAUUCCUUGACUUCUUGGGCUAUAUUUUUUUGUGCCGGUGGCAGGCUAUAUCAAUGCAAUCAUUGUGGCUGAGCAAGCAGCAUUCUCUUUUUCUCCCUAAAGGGCCUGCCCCAGCUGAUUCAAUCUGUAAAACAACCAGGUGGUUAACAGCGUAAAGCUAGAAGCAGCCAAACACACCGGCUUCCAGGGCCGCUCUGAACACAGCUGCAGCUUCCUCAUCUGAUAAGGAACGCUUUCAUAACUGCACCUGUUUCCUCCUGCUCCCUCUCCAGCCUUCUAGCCCUGCCUCCAUUAAGGGAUGAUCAGGAAUAGUGUCUCCUGCAGGUUUGAUUACUACAAGUCAGUGCUCACCCUGCCGUGAACUGGCAAAAUUGAGCCUGUAUAUUUUUAAAUUGAGGACCACGGUGUAGAUAUGGACUGAAAAACUUGUCUUCUUCAUUUUGCUCUUAACUGCAAAGUCUCUACUUCUUACAUCUGAGCAUUGUUGAAUUGAUCUGAUCCAACAUGUGCAUCGUCUGUAUUCUGAUGACUCUCACGUUUAUAUCACUAGCCUGAUCUCUCCUCCCAAUUCCAGACUCAUAUAUCAAAGAAUAGCAUCUCAAAUAGCAGUUGCAAAAAAAAUUAAAAAUAGAAUUACCACAUGAUCCAGCAAUCCCACGUUGAGGUAUAUAUUCAAGAGAGUUGAAAGCAGGAGCCCAGAUAUUUGUACAUUCACGAUCAUAGCAGCAUUACUCACAAUUGUUAAAAGGUGGAAGCAACUCAAAUGUCUAUACGUGGAGGACCGGGUAAAGAAAACGUGGUAUAUACAUACAGCAGGAUAUUAUUCAGCCUUAAAAAGGAAGGAAAUUCUGCCCCAUGCUACAACAUGGAUGAACCUGGAGGAUAUUAUGCUAAGUGAAAUAAGCCAGUCACAAAAAGACAAAUUUUGUAUGAUUUCACUUAUACUUCAUAUGAGUAUGAGCUAACAUCCAUGCCCAUCUUCCUCUACUUUAUACGCGGGAUGCCUACCACAGCAUGGCUUGAUGAGCGGUGCAAUGUCCGCACCUGGGAACCGAACCCGCGGACCCCAGGCCACCAAAGCGGAAUGUGCACACUUAACCGCUGCGCCACCGGGCCGGGGGUUUUUAUUUAAUGGGUAUUGAGUUUUCAUUUUUCAAGAUGAAAAAUUUCUAGAGAUCGGGUGUACAACAAUGUGAAUAUACUUAACACUACUGAACUGUGCCCUUAGAAAUGGUAAAGUUGGUAAGUUUUGUGUGUAUUUUACCACAACUAAUUUUUUUUAAAAAAAAAAGAACACAACUUUUGCUUAAUUUGGCUUUUUCUCUUGGUGCUUGGAAAUGAGCAUUGGUGUUGCUGGUUGUGUAGUAAACAGUUGUGGAUUCACCUCUUAAUGAAUGUUAAAGACUUUGUACGUUAAAAGGUGACCGUGGAAGGGAAAGGAAUUAUACAGCACACUUAUGGUGUUGUUCUACUGAGGGACAGAGUACCUUUCAAACGGAGUAUCUUCCCAGGUUCAUAGCACUGUGUGUCAUACACGCAGCAAACACAAUGAUUGUAGAGGCACAUUUUGGGAAAUGAGCUCAAAGUUAGGAUGGGAUGGGGAUCGUUAAACCUCUCACUGAGACCUUAAUCACUGUGACCCCCUUCUUUUAAUGGCCUAUCCUUCAUCAGGUACUUAAAAUUACUCACGUAGUUUUUGUAGCACAAGAGUAUUUUCAUCGUAGAAUGUGAAAAUACCUUCAACAAUAAUCUAGAGACAGUCCGAAUUCAGUGUCAAGGAAUUUAGUGCCGGCGAUGAGCCUGGUCAUGCUAUCAGGCAGUAGGCCUUCUCUAUAGAUAAACCCACGCCAUGUCUAAAUUCUCAAGCGUUACUUGCUCACUUUCUCUCUCUCCCAUUUGUAUUCUUUGUGCCUAGAAAUGACCAUGACAGAGAGAUGCCCAGAUCACUGACCUUUGCAAACAAAACUUUGGAGCCUAAGAGAACUAUAUUAACCCAGUUCUUACUGAUUUCCUCUUUGAGGGGGAAGUUUGAUUGCUUUCCCACACCAAAGAAGUUUAGAGAAUGUGCCAGUGAAUGGGUGCCUACUCUCACCUGGGUAUGUGUGCGUGUGUUGAUACCCAAGAAGUGAGUUUACUAUUUGGUUGGGCAAAGAAUCAAUGAACACGAUUUGUAUUGAGCCUGUAAUGUGUGUGACUUAUUUUUUAAUUUCAAAAUUAUUAUAUACAAGGAACUGUAAUAUUUGGUAAGAAUUGUGAGAAAAUUUAAACAUGAAUAGACACUAGCAGAGCAGACAGACAC
This is a long non-coding RNA of Equus caballus (horse), 4206 nucleotides long. NCBI's taxonomy places the organism in Eukaryota, Metazoa, Chordata, Mammalia, Perissodactyla, Equidae. The record is from Ensembl.